UGCGGCGUAGCUCAAAUGGCAGACAGAGCGCUGGUCUAGUAAACCAGUGUGUGCGGGUUCGAGUCCCGCCGCCGCAU
RNAcentral lists this transfer RNA (77 nucleotides) under Acidobacteriota bacterium. Its description in RNAcentral is "Acidobacteria bacterium (rhizosphere metagenome) tRNA-Thr". It matches the Rfam family "tRNA". Rfam says of the family: Transfer RNA (tRNA) molecules are approximately 80 nucleotides in length. Lineage: Bacteria; Pseudomonadati; Acidobacteriota. The record is from RNAcentral.